Neopelma chrysocephalum (saffron-crested tyrant-manakin) is the source of this 1866-nucleotide long non-coding RNA. RefSeq lists it as uncharacterized. The record is from RefSeq and is a predicted model, not a curated record. NCBI's taxonomy places the organism in Eukaryota, Metazoa, Chordata, Aves, Passeriformes, Pipridae. The transcript has 3 exons.
CUGUGAACGGAUAAGCCUUUACAGGGAAGAGCUGGAAGUCACAAAAUGCUGCCAGAGAAGCUUGCUUUCUGGGAGCUCUGCAGGGAGUUUUACCUAAUAAACAGCUUCUGUAAAAAAUUCUCACCCGAAUGAGGAGACCUGUAUCGGAAGUCCUCUUUGGUCAGGAGCAGCAGAGCCUUGCCGUUCAUCUCGAAAGUGUUGCUCUCGAUCGGCCUCAAGGAAAACUCCUUCUCCGCCCACCUGAGCCACUGUGCCACAUCAUCCCUGCUCCAGUAAACCGGCUGCAAACCUGUGGCAGGAAGAGACCGUGAUUGUGUUACCAAAUUGAGGCAAGGAAUGGGAAUGUGGCCUCCAUCUCCACGCAACACGAAGGAUCUUCAAGGCUCAGAGCUUGAGAAAUGCCUCUCCCUGCAGCUUCCCCAGUGGUCUGGUGGGUCCCAGAGCCUGCGAGCACCAAUGCACACACACUUCUGAUGACUCUGUUAAUCUCCACUAAAUCUGGUUCCUCAGACAUUCCUCAGGACAUUCUCUCUCUCGCUAUGGGGAUAAGGAGAGGAAGACAAAAUCAUUUGGGUUCUUCUUUUUGCAUGGCAGAAAGAUCACACUGUUUUUUUCAGUCUUUGCCUUCUUGCUUAAGUAAUGCUACUCGUGGUUAUCUUUUAAGCCUGGGAAGGAGUGACUUCAAUAAAGCAGCAUUAACACACUGGAUGCACCCUCAGGGUGUGCACCCAAUCCAGAGUUAACACUUCUCCUCAAUUCCAUUCAUCUGACUGUAACCUCUGGCUGCCUCUGGACAACUGAGGCAGAGUCAAACCCUAGCUAGGAAAAAUCCUCAUGAACAUGUCGUGACCAUUAAUUCAAUCCACCCAGCUGAAUGUUAACCAAGUGACCAGUUAAUGCCUGCUCAAAGUUUUGAAAAUACUGGCUUGGAAAGCAUGUCUGCAUCUCCUGUGAAAAUCAGUGGUAAUUGGUAAUCUUAAAAAUUUAGCUGCAGUGCUAAGAGUAGUAUGCAAGGCACCAAAAGGGAGAGGAAAGUUUCUCAGAACAUCAGAAGGCUCAUAUUGCUAAUUUUGAACCUAAUGGCUUCCAUUUGUGUUAAAUACCAAAACACUUCAUGAAUCCUGACACAUUUUUGUGUUUGGAAAAAUCUGUGUAAGAUUAGAUGCUGCUUUCCUGUGUUUCCCUUUGGCUCAACCAACUGUGAGCGUGUAUUUAAUCAUAAGAGGUAAGAGAAAGAGAGCAGCACACCUUGACCAGGCAGGCUGACUUGGGCUGAACAGCAGGAAGAGUUUCUUCUUCCCUUCUCACUUCAGAAUGGGAGUCAGGAUGGAGGGACACCAGUGCCUUCGAAGAAAUCAGGGACUACUUCUGUACUCCUGUCAAAGCCUAGUGGUUUCUUUGCUCCCUUUGCUUGCUAGAACCCACAUGAAAUUGUAAAAAUGGUACUGGGAUACCAUCAGGGUGCUUAUCCUGUUCAGGAUUCUUUUCAUAUCUCUGCCAACCUCUUAAAAAGACAUAAAAGAGGAGACAAUUUUUAAUCUCCUUUCACAGUAUGGUUGCCAACAUGGCAGGCUAAAACUGCAUGGUAUGAGCAUUCAGUAUGUCCAUAGCUGCUAUUCCCUAAUUGGCAGGCAUGGUGGGGAGGCCUUUUGCUUGCCCUGAUAAGGUCAUUUGCAUAACUCUACCCCAGUGGCUUUGCAUGUAUUUUUUCCCCUCUUCUUUGCAUGUAUCUUUUCCCCUCAUAAGUUCUCAGGCAUUUCUCCAUAUGUCAGAGAAGCACUAUGAAAACCUUAUCUGUAGUUAAUCACAAUAUUCAUUCUAUUAUACACUUACUAACUUAUUUUUAUUUCUUGUACAGAAAUACAU